RNAcentral lists this ribosomal RNA (460 nucleotides) under uncultured bacterium. RNAcentral describes it as "partial 16S ribosomal RNA". It matches the Rfam family "Bacterial small subunit ribosomal RNA", at positions 338 to 795 of the family's 1533-position model. The record is from RNAcentral.
CCUACGGGAGGCAGCAGUGAGGAAUAUUGGUCAAUGGCCGGAAGGCUGAACCAGCCAUGCCGCGUGAAGGUCAGUGCCCUAUGGGCGUUAAACUUCUUUUGUGCGGGAGCAAUAAUGGUCACGUGUGGCCAGACGAGAGUACCGUACGAAUAAGCAUCGGCUAACUCCGUGCCAGCAGCCGCGGUAAUACGGGGGAUGCAAGCGUUGUCCGGAUUUAUUGGGUUUAAAGGGUGCGUAGGCUGUGGGGUAAGUCAGCGGUGAAAUGCCCCCGCUCAACGGGGUGAAGUGCCAUUGUUACUGCCUUGCUUGAAUGCGGAUGCCGUGGGAGGAAUGUGUGGUGUAGCGGUGAAAUGCAUAGAUAUCACACAGAACACCGAGUGCGAAGGCAUCUCACGAAUCCGCGAUUGACGCUGAUGCACGAAAGCGUGGGUAUCAAACAGGAUUAGAUACCCUUGUAGUC